GAUGAACGCUGGCGGCGUGCCUAAUACAUGCAAGUCGAGCGAACAGACGAGGAGCUUGCUCCUUUGACGUUAGCGGCGGACGGGUGAGUAACACGUAGGUAACCUACCUAUAAGACUGGGAUAACUUCGGGAAACCGGAGCUAAUACCGGAUAAUAUUUCGAACCGCAUGGUUCGAUAGUGAAAGAUGGCUUUGCUAUCACUUAUAGAUGGACCUGCGCCGUAUUAGCUAGUUGGUAAGGUAACGGCUUACCAAGGCAACGAUACGUAGCCGACCUGAGAGGGUGAUCGGCCACACUGGAACUGAGACACGGUCCAGACUCCUACGGGAGGCAGCAGUAGGGAAUCUGCCGCAAUGGGCGAAAGCCUGACGGAGCAACGCCGCGUGAGUGAUGAAGGUCUUCGGAUCGUAAAACUCUGUUAUUAGGGAAGAACAAACGUGUAAGUAACUGUGCACGUCUUGACGGUACCUAAUCAGAAAGCCACGGCUAACUACGUG
This 497-nucleotide ribosomal RNA is filed under the name uncultured bacterium. RNAcentral's name for it is "partial 16S ribosomal RNA". It matches the Rfam family "Bacterial small subunit ribosomal RNA", at positions 28 to 507 of the family's 1533-position model. The record is from RNAcentral.